Molecule: long non-coding RNA, 1350 nt
Organism: Brienomyrus brachyistius
Lineage: Eukaryota; Metazoa; Chordata; Actinopteri; Osteoglossiformes; Mormyridae
Exons: 3
Source: RefSeq, a predicted model, not a curated record
UCAUAGUAGGACUUUUCCCACAGAUAUGAAUGACGACUUCCCAUAAAGAUACAGAUACCUAAUCUGUUGUGUGUCAGUCUGUCAGUCUGUUUGUGCAUGUGCAUCUGUCUGUGUGUCUGCGUGUCUGUCUAUGCAUGUAUUUAGUUAAAUAGGCGGCAAACUUCAGCCUCUGAACUUGCGUCUUGCCUUCUCUGCUGCUGUCCUCUUCUGUGGCCAUUCCUUAGCCUAGGAUCUCCUCUCACAGCUACUCUGCUCCCAAACACUGCACCUGUAUCCUGGUGAGGAGGAGCCGCCUUCAGGAUCUCCUCUCACAGCUACUCUGCUCCCAAACACUGCACCUGUAUCCUGGUGAGGAGGAGCCGCCUUCAGGAUCUCCUCUCACAGCUACUCUGCUCCCAAACACUGCACCUGUAUCCUGGUGAGGAGGAGCCGCCUUCAGGAUCUCCUCUCACAGCUACUCUGCUCCCAAACACUGCACCUGUAUCCUGGUGAGGAGGAGCCGCCUUCAGGAUCUCCUCUCACAGCUACUCUGCUCCCAAACACUGCACCUGUAUCCUGAGCCCAUUUUCUGAGAAGCGGAGCACUUUGUGCAGGAAUCCCCUUUAUAUCUGUGGCUAUGCUGAGACCAACGCAGCGACACAGCUGUGAGAAAAUGCUAGUGGUCAUUUGGCGAAAUUUCAUCACCACAUCGUGAAGAUUUUAACCACUGAAAACUGCUGGAAGGGUAUAAAGAAAUGCAGGUUUAAUAGAUAGUUGCUGAAAACCUGGAAGCUAUUUACAGAUCACUUUUGAAGAAAGCUAGUGUGAAACCUGUACGUCUAUUACAAUAAAAAUGGUGCCUAACUAAUGCCACCUGUGGCUUAAAUCAGUACUAAGAUUAAAUGCACAUGACGAUUACACAGUACACAGUCAGUGGGAAAGUGAGAAGAUUGCAUACUGCCCUCUGGUGGUUACUUGGUGCAUUUGUAUAAAAUUGAGAACAUGACUGAUUCUCUGAAAGAAAAAAAAAUCAGUGCUGUGAUAGAGAUUCCUGUGAACAAUGAAACCCACCUUCGUCAUGCCCCCGCUAUUAAUGUCAUGUUUGCCUCUUAACCCAGACAGCUGAACUCAGCGGCUAAAGUGUAGCCCCUCCAGCCGGCGCGUCUCACUGGGUAGUGGGACAUGUCGGGGGAAGGAAGCUUGCUAAGUAGCCGCAAAAUGCACUGCCCGGUCUGGAGCCCUCCCUUACUGGCCCAGCAGGCCGCCAGUCUGGAGCCCUCCCUUACUGGCCCAGCAGGCCGCCGGUCUGGAGCCCUCCCUUACUGGCUUAGACGUCGGCUUGCUCACUAGGGACUUUGGGAAGGGAUAAUG